RNAcentral lists this transfer RNA (69 nucleotides) under Simias concolor (Simakobou). RNAcentral describes it as "tRNA-Val". The record is from RNAcentral. Lineage: Eukaryota; Metazoa; Chordata; Mammalia; Primates; Cercopithecidae.
CAAGGCAUAGCUCAAUACAAAGCAUCCAGUUUACACCCGGAAGAUAUCAACACUACUUGAUUGCCCUGA